UUUUGGUGUACUUCAGUCUGUCAGAUUUUCUUUCCUUUAAUUAUUUAUGAAAUUUUCCUCCCUCAAGGAAGAGGAAAAUAAAUACUGCUGCUAGCAAGAAAGUACUUUUAGAAUGGAGCCAUUCAAAAAGCAAGGGAAGGGACUGACAGAUGUUUAUCUUCAGUGUUCUUCAAGAACCAAACCAGAUCUAAAGUAAAUGUGUUUUUUUGUCUUGCAGCCCUGUCAGACCAUUUAGAAGCACAAAAGAGAACAGCUCGUGUUCGUGUCCAGACCUGCUCUGGGCCACACCUUGUUGCCAACAGGAUUUAGAAGAGGAUCUCUAACAUGAUCUGAGCUAAAAAUCUGUCGUGGCAUUUGUACCAUGGAACUGCCGAUACUGUGGGUCAUGUGUUGAAGGUCUGGUCACCGGUGCCUCUGGAUCGAGGUAAUACACU
Molecule: long non-coding RNA, 434 nt
Organism: Lepidothrix coronata (blue-crowned manakin)
Lineage: Eukaryota; Metazoa; Chordata; Aves; Passeriformes; Pipridae
Exons: 3
Source: RefSeq, a predicted model, not a curated record